This 76-nucleotide transfer RNA is filed under the name Limnochordaceae bacterium. RNAcentral's name for it is "tRNA-Thr". It matches the Rfam family "tRNA". Rfam says of the family: Transfer RNA (tRNA) molecules are approximately 80 nucleotides in length. Their secondary structure includes four short double-helical elements and three loops (D, anti-codon, and T loops). The record is from RNAcentral. Lineage: Bacteria; Bacillati; Bacillota; Limnochordia; Limnochordales; Limnochordaceae. RNAcentral also lists the same sequence under 1 other name.
GCCCGCAUAGCUCAGACGGCAGAGCGCAUCCAUGGUAAGGAUGAGGUCGCCGGUUCGAUUCCGGCUGCGGGCUCCA